This 1465-nucleotide ribosomal RNA is filed under the name Clostridioides difficile DA00261. Its description in RNAcentral is "bacterial LSU rRNA". It matches the Rfam family "Bacterial large subunit ribosomal RNA", at positions 1450 to 2925 of the family's 2925-position model. Lineage: Bacteria; Bacillati; Bacillota; Clostridia; Peptostreptococcales; Peptostreptococcaceae. The record is from RNAcentral.
AUAACCGUUUGAGAGAAGGGAUGACACAGUAGGAUAAGCUAAGCACACUGUUGGUUAUGUGUGCCCAAGCAUUGAGGCAGUCAAAGUAGGUAAAUCCGCUUUGAUAAUGCUGGGAUGUGAUGGGGAGCGAAAUUUAGUAGCGAAGUAGCUGAUUUCACACUGUCAAGAAAAGUCUCUAUCGAGGUUAAAGGUACCCGUACCGCAAACCGACACAGGUGGGUGAGGAGAGUAUCCUAAGGCCAGCGAGAGAACUGUUGUUAAGGAACUCGGCAAAAUGACCCCGUAACUUAGGGAUAAGGGGUGCCACCAUCAGGUGGCCGCAGAGAAUAGGCCCAAGCGACUGUUUACCAAAAACAUAGGUUUCUGCUAAGUCGCAAGACGAUGUUAUAGGAGCUGACGCCUGCCCGGUGCUGGAAGGUUAAGGGGAUCUGUUAGAGCAAUCGAAGCAGUGAACUUAAGCCCCAGUAAACGGCGGCCGUAACUAUAACGGUCCUAAGGUAGCGAAAUUCCUUGUCGGGUAAGUUCCGACCCGCACGAAAGGCGUAACGAUUUGGGCACUGUCUCAACAACAGACUCGGUGAAAUUGUAAUUCCGGUGAAGAUGCCGGAUACCUGCGACAGGACGGAAAGACCCCAUGGAGCUUUUACUGUAGCUUGACAUUGGGUCUUGGUACUACAUGUACAGGAUAGGUGGGAGGCUUUGAAACCAGGACGCCAGUUUUGGCGGAGCCAUCCUUGGGAUACCACCCUUGUAGUACUGGGACUCUAACCAUAGGCCAUGAAUCUGGUCUUGGGACACUGUCAGGUGGGCAGUUUGACUGGGGCGGUCGCCUCCCAAAAGGUAACGGAGGCGCUCAAAGGUUCUCUCAGUACGGUCGGAAAUCGCACGUAGAGUGUAAAGGCAAAAGAGAGCUUGAUUGCAAGACAUACGGGUCGAGCAAGGAUGAAAAUCGGACUUAGUGAUCCGGUGGUUCUGCGUGGAAGGGCCAUCGCUCAACGGAUAAAAGCUACCCUGGGGAUAACAGGCUUAUCUCCCCCAAGAGUCCACAUCGACGGGGAGGUUUGGCACCUCGAUGUCGGCUCAUCACAUCCUGGGGCUGUAGUAGGUCCCAAGGGUUGGGCUGUUCGCCCAUUAAAGUGGUACGCGAGCUGGGUUCAGAACGUCGUGAGACAGUUCGGUCCCUAUCCGUCGCAGGCGUAGGAAAUUUGAGAAGACCUGUCCUUAGUACGAGAGGACCGGGAUGGACGUACCUCUGGUGUACCAGUUGUUCUGCCAAGGGCAUGGCUGGGUAGCUAUGUACGGAAUGGAUAAGCGCUGAAAGCAUCUAAGCGCGAAGCCAACUUCAAGAUAAGAUUUCCCACCGCAAGGGUAAGACCCCAGAAAGACUAUCUGGUUGAUAGGUCGAAGGUGUAAGUGCAGCAAUGUAUUUAGCUUAUCGAUACUAAUAGGUCGAGGACUUGACCAA